GGGCGUUUGAUCAUGGCUCAGGACAAACGCUGGCGGCGUGCGUAACACAUGCAAGUCGAACGGCCUGGAUUCUUUCGGGGAUGCAGGUAGUGGCGGACGGGUGAGUAACACGUGGAUAACCUGCCCCGCUGUGGGGGAUACCGCUCAGAAAUGAGGGUUAAUACCGCAUGCGAUGGGAGGGAGGGGAGACCCUCCGUCUCAAGGAAGCUUUCCGGGUCGAGAGACUGGGAGGCGCAGUGGGAGGGGUCCGCGGCCGAUUAGCUAGUUGGUGUGGUAAGAGCGCACCAAGGCGACGAUCGGUAGCUGGUCUGAGAGGAUGGUCAGCCACACUGGGAUUGAGAACGGCCCAGACUCCUACGGGGGGCAGCAGUGAGGGAUCUUCGGCAAUGGGGGCAACCCUGACCGAGCAACGCCGCGUGCGGGACGACGCUUUUCGGAGUGUAAACCGCUUUUCUGGGGGACGAGGGAGUACGGACGGUACCCCAGGAAGAAGUCUCGGCUAACUACGUGCCAGCAGCCGCGGUAAUAGCU
This 531-nucleotide ribosomal RNA is filed under the name uncultured bacterium. RNAcentral describes it as "bacterial SSU rRNA". It matches the Rfam family "Bacterial small subunit ribosomal RNA", at positions 9 to 528 of the family's 1533-position model. The record is from RNAcentral.